GUUUGAUCCUGGCUCAGGAUAAACGCUGGCGGCGUGCUUCAGGCAUGCAAGUCGAACGGGCGGCAGUUUUCGGAUUGUCGCUAGUGGCGGACGGGUGAGUAACACGUGAGCAACCUGCCCUGUAGUGGGGAAUAACGGGCCGAAAGGCUCGCUAAUACCGCAUGUGAUGGCUCUUCUCUGGAGGGGUCAUGAAAGGCGAAAGUCGCUACGGGAGGGGCUUGCGGUCGAUUAGCUAGUUGGCGGGGUAAUGGCCCACCAAGGCUACGAUCGAUAGCUGGUCUGAGAGGACGGUCAGCCACACGGGGACUGAGAUACGGCCCCGACUCCUACGGGAGGCAGCAGCUAGGAAUCUUGGGAAUGGGCGAAAGCCUGACCCAGCAACGCCGCGUGGGCGAUGAAGGCCUUCGGGUCGUAAAGCCCUUUUGCAGGGGAAGAUGAUGACGGUACCCUGCGAAUAAGCCACGGCUAACUACGUGCCAGCAGCCGCGGUAAUACGUAGGUGGCAAGCGUUGUCCGGAUUUACUGGGCGUAAAGGGCGUGCAGGCGGUCUGUUAAGUGCAUGGUGAAAGCUCCCGGCUCAACUGGGAGAGGUCUGUGUAUACUGGCGGACUCGAGGGGGGUAGAGGAAAGUGGAAUUCCCGGUGUAGUGGUGAUAUGCGUAGAUAUCGGGAGGAACACCUGUGGCGAAGGCGGCUUUCUGGGCCCUACCUCACGCUGAGACGCGAAAGCGUGGGGUUUCGACCCCCUCCGUGCCGCAGCUAACGCAAUAAGUGUCCCGCCUGGGGAGUACGGCCGCGAGGCUAAAACUCAAAGGAAUUGACGGGGGCCCGCACAAGCAGCGGAGCGUGCGGUUUAAUUCGUCGCAACGCGAAGAACCUUACCAAGGCUUGACAUGCUAGUGGUACCAAAUCGAAAGAUGCGGGACCCUUCGGGGAGCUAGCACAGGUGCUGCAUGGCUGUCGUCAGCUCGUGCCGUGAGGUGUUGGGUUAAGUCCCGCAACGAGCGCAACCCCUGUUGCCAGUUGUAUUCUCUGGCGAGACUGCCCCGUAAAGCGGGGAGGAAGGCGGGGAUGACGUCAAGUCAGCACGGCCCUUACGUCUUGGGCCACUCGCACGCUACAAUGGUCGGUACAACAGGUUGCGAAGGAGCGAUCCGGAGCUAAUCCCCAAAGCCGGCCUCAGUUCAGAUUGCAGGCUGAAACCCGCCUGCAUGAAGGCGGAGUUGCUAGUAACCGCUGGUCAGCACACAGCGGUGAAUACGUUCCCGGGCCUUGUACACACCGCCCGUCGCGCUAUGGGAGCCGAUAACACCUGAAGUCGCUGAGCUAACCGCAAGGAGGCAGGCGCCGAGGGUGGGAUUGGUAACUGGAG
This 1371-nucleotide ribosomal RNA is filed under the name metagenome. Its description in RNAcentral is "bacterial SSU rRNA". It matches the Rfam family "Bacterial small subunit ribosomal RNA". The record is from RNAcentral.